GACGAACGCUGGCGGCGUGCUUAACACAUGCAAGUCGAACGGAAAGGCCUCUUUCGGGGGGUACUCGAGUGGCGAACGGGUGAGUAACACGUGAGUAACCUGCCCUUGACUUUGGGAUAACUUCAGGAAACUGGGGCUAAUACCGGAUAGGAGCUCCUGCUGCAUGGUGGGGGUUGGAAAGUUUCGGCGGUUGGGGAUGGACUCGCGGCUUAUCAGCUUGUUGGUGGGGUAGUGGCUUACCAAGGCUUUGACGGGUAGCCGGCCUGAGAGGGUGACCGGCCACAUUGGGACUGAGAUACGGCCCAGACUCCUACGGGAGGAAGCAGGGGGGAAUAUUGCACAAUGGGUGGAAGCCGGAUGCAGCAACGCCGUGUGCGGGAUGACGGCCUUCGGGUUGUAAACCGCUUUCGCUCAUGACGAAGCUUUGUGUGACGGUAGUGGGUAAAGAAGCACCGGCUAACUACGUG
This 467-nucleotide ribosomal RNA is filed under the name uncultured bacterium. Its description in RNAcentral is "partial 16S ribosomal RNA". It matches the Rfam family "Bacterial small subunit ribosomal RNA", at positions 28 to 507 of the family's 1533-position model. The record is from RNAcentral.